This 156-nucleotide ribosomal RNA is filed under the name uncultured bacterium. Its description in RNAcentral is "partial 16S ribosomal RNA". It matches the Rfam family "Bacterial small subunit ribosomal RNA", at positions 356 to 504 of the family's 1533-position model. The record is from RNAcentral.
GGGGAAUAUUGCACAAUGGGCGCAAGCCUGAUGCAGCCAUGCCGCGUGUAUGAAGAAGGCCUUCGGGUUGUAAAGUACUUUCAGCGGGGAGGAAGGGAGUAAAGUUAAUACCUUUGCUCAUUGACGUUACCCGCAGAAGAAGCACCGGCUAACUCC